ACAUGUCUUUUAGAAAGAUAAUUUAAAGUYCAAUYUGCUCCAUGAUUAAAUUAAAUAGCUGCAGUAUUUUGACUGUACAAAGGUAGCAUAAUCAAUAGUUUUUUAAUUAAAAGCUGGAAUGAAUGAUUUGAUAAGGUAAAUAUUGUYUCAAUUUUAUUAGGAUUAUAAUUUUUUUUUUAGUAAAAAUACUAAAUUGAAUUUAAAAGACGAGAAGACCCUAUAGAUUUUGAUAUUUUUAAUUUAAUUGAUUUAAAUUUAAAAAUUAUAAUUAUAGUAAAAAGUAUUUGGUUGGGGAAAUUAUUAAAUUUGUAAAAUUUUAAUUUUUAUGAAACAAAAAUUAUUGAAUAUUUGAUCUUAAAUUUUAAAUUGUAAGAAUAAAAUACCUUAGGGAUAACAGCGUAAUUUUUUUGAAGAGAUCAUAUUGAUAAAAAAGUUUGCGACCUCGAUGUUGAAUUAAGAUAAAAUUUUAAUGGAGAAAUUAAAAAUUUUUGGUCUGUUCGACCAUUAAAAUCUUACG
RNAcentral lists this ribosomal RNA (517 nucleotides) under Calaminus sp. BFS-2018. RNAcentral's name for it is "partial 16S large subunit ribosomal RNA". The stretch from base 390 to 517 matches the Rfam family "Archaeal large subunit ribosomal RNA", at positions 2544 to 2671 of the family's 2987-position model. Lineage: Eukaryota; Metazoa; Arthropoda; Insecta; Hymenoptera; Ichneumonidae. The record is from RNAcentral.